Molecule: long non-coding RNA, 2251 nt
Organism: Triticum aestivum (bread wheat)
Lineage: Eukaryota; Viridiplantae; Streptophyta; Magnoliopsida; Poales; Poaceae
Exons: 2
Source: RefSeq, a predicted model, not a curated record
CCCUAUCUCCUGAUUCCUCUCUCACCCGAGCUCCAUUGCCAUCAUCCUGCCGUCGCCACCUCCCAUUAGGCCUUGCUCCGCCCCCUCCCCCCCUGAGAAUCCUCCGAUGCUCGGCCACCGCGACGGCCUCUGCGCCCCUGCACGUGUCCUUGCAGCACCGGCGCUGUUCGUGCUCCUCCGGUUUGUCGGCUCACCAACAGCCGUGUCUCCGCGUGCGGCCUUCUCCAGGGGCUCGACGGUGCCGCCCCGCCUCGUCUAUCUCGACUCCAACAUUGAUGUUUCAGUGAGGCACUCCUCCCCUCUGCUAUUACCCUCUCUGAUCCUUUGUGGCGUGGCUUUUUUUUUUGCGGAAACUUUGUGGCGUGGCUACUAGGGCUUGUAGUCGUGGCAUCGUAGAUCGCGGCUGUAUACAGCAUCAACUGCGGGCACUCUCUCCUAUGGAGGCUUCCAUGGUCGCAUGUGUCAUACCAACCACUCACCUAGAUUCAUAUCCGUCAAGAACGUGUAUUUCUCACCUCAAAAAAAAAGAACGUGUAUUUCUCUUAUCCCCAAUAAUGAGUUCUGCCUAAUUUAACGAAAUGGUGGCCUCUAUAAUUACAUUGGGAUUUGGUGCUCCAGCUUCUCUGAACUUCGACUUGUGACAUGGGUGGAACAAUUAGGUACGAGAUUUGUCAACAUGUUUGUCCACUUCCACUUCAAUUGGUCAACGAAUAUUUAUACUACUGUACUUAAGUUAUGAUGGUGACCCACUCUUUUUGUUGGAGGAAACCUGAUCCUAUUGUUGUGAAUGUUUUUGCUGGUGAUCAUCUACUUUAGUUGUGCAGACCAUAAUGGUGUUUUCACAUAUACUAUCCGUAUAUAUUUGCGUAAAUGUCUACCGUACUCUGGAGUGCUAGAUUAUACUCCAAAACAAAAUAACUAUUUGCCUCGGAUGACUAUUCAACAGUCUUGUUGGGAUAUCAUCAAUGCUUGCAUCUUCCGUGGCUUAUAAGGAGAGAAUCUAGUUCUAUGUGGAAACAGGGGUUAUUGAUUAAUUAAUUAAUUAAUUAUUCACUUCUUUUACAAAAACAUUCGUUGUCAAGGAGGCAACAGGAAUAUAUUAGGCAUGAGUAUACAAAACAACACAUUAAGAAGGUAUAUAAAUCAUAGUCUAGACAUCUCACACUUGCCAGCAUGCGAAAGUAUGUAGGUACAUUUGAUUCAUUUGAACUAUUUUGUUUAACUUUAGGUACUUCUAAGUACUGAAACCUUUGUAUUUAUUUGCAUGUUAUGAUGAAUUGCAAUCUUUUGUAGAUCAGAAGGAUGCAUCACAACAAGAAUGCUUCGCGAGAUGCCACACUAAAUCUUUAAUUCUCAGUAGUAUUUGAAUUAGACGUCGUUACUUCGUGAACAUGAUCUUGCAGGUUUACAGGAAAUAUUAAAGAAUACAAAGCUACUUGAGAUAAUCAGAUUGGAAAUUUGCAUGAGUGCUGCAACCUGGGAAGAUAAAUAGGACCAGUGAUGAUGGCAGCACAUCAAUGACAUCAUGUAGGUGUGGUGUUCAUCCAUCCCUUAUCUCUUUGUGUGUGUGUGCGCUGGCGUGUGUAUAUGUAUCCCAUCUUCAUAUGCCAUGCUAAUUGUUCAUUUAGAUCGAUCUCUCUCCCAACACGUUUAUCCCAUGUAUUUGGUAUCAUCUUAUAAACGAUUGAUUAGUCACGUCCAACUCUUCCUAGAUUAUUUCAAGUGUGAUGUCUCUGAAGAAAAAUAAUGUCACUGGAGGUAACGUCGUAUUGUAAUUUGCGUAAGUGUUAGUUCGUGUUUGCACUAGUAAUCUGUUUUCUUUCUGAAGGAUCUUAACUAUUGAUGCAGACGAUUGUAGGUUAAUUAAUUGUAACAACAGCUCUAUGCCUCUGCCUAUUCUUACGCUCUGACUUUUGAAGUACAAACCGAUGAAAAGAAAGAUGAAGAUUGUGCAAUUUAUUUUAGCUAGAACUGGCAGGAACUAUCUUCAGGAUGUGGAGUUAUGGAUGCGAAGAGAAACUGUUUAUUCUUGGUUUUAGUGAAUGAAGGUUGAACAUAUUAGUCUAGAUGCUCAUGUGAUGAGCUUAGCUUUUUGUUUUCUGCAAUGAUGCUUCGAUUUGUUUCUUUGUACAGUGCACAUGUUCUUGUUAAAAACAUGUGUACAAGUUGAAGGUAGAAUUUGUAAUCAUCAGUUCAUUCUGAUGGGCAAUACUUAGAACAAAGCACAUAAAUAUAGAUAUCAUGUAUUCUU